UUCUAUCGAUAACAAUUAAAUUUAUUUUCGCUGAGACAUAAAUUGUACAUUGUUUCCAAACAAAUGAAAGUUUGCUACCAAAGAUAGAGGGAUAUUCUUCCAUACAAUAAAAGCCUAAUACAGUUACAGCAACAAAAAUUUAUUUAGUUACAACAAAAAGUGUUACAAGGUCCAUGUCUAAGAUGGCUGGGAAGCAAGGUUAUUGUUUUGGGCAGCAGCGAAAUACUGCCAAAUGAAAAUUGACGCCAUCGCGAUGGCAGAAAACAGCAAGGACAAUGUUGCCAGCACGUAACCGCGAUAUCGUGAUAUCCUGGUCGGUUUGAUGGUGCGGAAGCUGGAGCACACAAAUUACGCCGAAAGCACAUCCCCGGGGAGGACCUUCAUCACUAUCUCCGCCCAUGUCUCCAGCACCUCCUUUGCGCCUUCAAAUCGGCGCCGCUCACAUUGUGGGGAUAGGUCAAUCCAAGGCGUUUCAGAAACGAAUGAUGCAUGAUUGGCAUCAUGUGGCACAAAACAUCUGUAGAAGCACACAUGAGAAAACGAGAUAAGGUAUAUAUGAAUCUAUCGAAACAAAAAUAAUUGGCAGUGGAAGCAUAGAAAAAUGAAAUAAGGCUUACACGAAGCAACAAUUUGAUCUACCAGAACAUACAUGAUAGGUAGGGGAAGCAUGGAAAACUGGGAUAAAAAAAGCAUUGCUAUCGGAACAUAUGUGAAACGUAGAAGUAGAAGCCAUAGCUUACACAGAGUCGUGAUUUCAUCAAUCAAAACAUACAUGAUAGGCAAUGGAAUCAUAUAAAAUUGACAUGAAGGAAAAAAUCAAGAGUAUAGGAAAAUACUCAAAAUUAGGAAGCACGGUUGACACAAACCAAUGAAUUGAUCUGUCAGAACAUACACUGAGUUGUGUUUCUAUUGAAAUGGUGUUGGCAAUGACAACUAUAGAAACACAAACAAAAAAUAGAUAUGGGGACUAUGGAAGCAAACUACCUAUACCAAAUAAUAAUACAUAAUAUAAUAUGGGGCAAGGAAUAUUAAAAUAGUGAUAACAAUGACAGCAACAACUUUUGUAAAAAAGGAUGAAAUAUGGAAGCAUUCUAUCUAAAACUAAGAGGAGCAUAUGAAGUAUAAUUUGGAAGCCCCAUCAGUGUGAAGCAUCAAGUAUGGAAGCAUUCUAUGUAAACUAGAGGAGCAUAUGAAAUACAAUUUGGAAGCCCCAUCAUUAUGAAGCAUGAAAAUAUGCUAUCUCAAUCUGAGUCAUCUUAAUUUGAAGCAUAGAAAAUUGAAUACAUGAAUUAACUAAGAUUGCCACCAACAUGGGGAUGCAUGUGUCACCUACAUACCAAAUUCACAGAAAUAUUGGUUGAACUAUGGAUGCUAACUUUGUAAACUAAAGAAGUAUAUGUGGUAUUAUUUCAGAAGGUCCAUUAGUAGGAAGCUUGAAAAGAGCGAUAUCUCAACACAAGUCAUCUUAAUAGGAAGCAUAUUUGUCACGUUCAUGUAAAUUUCACAAAUAUUUCAUUUAUGAUUUGGUGAUCCAGUACACAAAGGACAGAACAAAAUCGGACCCAAUAAAAAGGAAUUGCUCAAGAUGUGCACACAAGGAUAUGAAUUGAUACUCAGAACAUAAAACAAGAAAAAAAAUCAACAAGUAUUGGAUCAACAUGAGAGAGGACUCAAUACCUAGAUCAUACGAGGACAGUGCCUUAGGGGGGAUGGAGACGACUCUACAGUGGUCGACAUGUGGUGGCUUCGUUUCCCAACCGAGACGGCCCUCCGGCGUGGUGGACUGGAGGUACCGGGCCCAAAGCUGGCGAAGAUGACCAGGAGGACAAGGGGAUUGUGAGCUUGUCUGUGCCAAAUCGUGGAUAAUGACAGCCACAAUCACAAGAUGAUACAACACACCAUCGUGGAUAAGAAUGUAGGAAGCAUGAAAAAUAGCAAAUAAAGAUGCAUGUAUUGUGCCGGCCACAUACUAACUGAACGAAUUGCAAGUAAAUAUCAGGAUGGCAUGGAAGCAUUUUUCUAAAGGAUCGUAGAAAAUGAGUAUACAAUGUAGAAGCACAAAAAUAUGAGUCGUAGGCACAGAAGCAUUUUUCUAAACUACCGUAGCAAAACGAGAACAAUGUAGAAGCACAAAGCUAUGCAGCUGGCUAUUAGUGCAAAGGGUGCACUAUUAGUGUCUGGUGGAAGCAUUAAAUUUUGAAAAAUGUAACAAAAACAAUAUGCCGCUAACUAUGGUCCAUGGAUGCAUAUUUUUGGAAGCACUUUAUACAGGAAGCAACGAAACAAUGUUUUCCUCAACAUAUUUCACCAUCAUUGGAAACACUACAUAUUGAAAACUAAUUAACUAAGGAAUAGCCACGAAUGCCUGCCUACAUAUGUAUGGUUUAUCUAAUUAUCUAAAAAGCUCGACUUGCAAAAGGAUUGAUGAUAAAGGAUCUAAAACAUCAGCGAACAAUACUAGGCAGCCAAUGAACAUACAAACCCAGUGAGUACUUGGCUGUGGAUGAAAUAUAAAUAAAAUCAAACAUUUACAGAAAUUACAAAUGGAAUCAUCAAAAAGGAGCUGGUAGAUGCAGUACAAUACCUUCGAUUUCAAGAUGGGGUGGGGUGGGAUUUUCCAAUCCACAUCAGGUUCUCCGACCGGCCGGUGCUACUCCGGCAACCAAUUCAGCCGAUGGAGCGGGGUUGGCCGGUGGGGUGACCAUCCUGCUCGGCGACAAAGAGAGUAUGAGGCUGUCCGAGGCGGAGGUGGGGUGGAGGGGAGCGAUCUGGGCGAUGUGGGUGGAGGGCGGAGGCUAGCGCGUCUCUCGAUUGAUUGGAACGAGAGGGAUUAGGGAUAGGAUUUUGGGCGGGGGUUGCGGCAGCGUGGUUAGCGUCUGCUGCUGUUUUUUUUUUCUUUAAUAGAAAGCACAAUUUGUGAGGCGUUAGAUUUCAGAUGAAUCGAC
This 2945-nucleotide long non-coding RNA is filed under the name Triticum aestivum (bread wheat). Its description in RNAcentral is "long non-coding RNA (TAES_LNC025758)". The record is from RNAcentral. Lineage: Eukaryota; Viridiplantae; Streptophyta; Magnoliopsida; Poales; Poaceae.